CAGGUAUGCUUCGUGGAGAUGAGCUUCAAAAGGAUGAAACCCGAAACUGUGAGCUUCACACCACUAGGUGAUGGCUAGCGAUUGAGGAGUUCGACGCUUGCAACAGCCAGCCAUUGACGGCCAACGAUUGAGGAUGUCGAUAGCAAUGAUUGAAGGUGCAUCAACAAUGUAGGAGCUGCAGUAGGAGUUGGAAUAUCAUUGAGGGUGAUCAUCGAAGGAGGAGUUGCCAUUAACAUGUUUAUUGGAAGGGUUUAGGGGUAUUUGCAAUGACCACCAUCAACUUUGAAGAAGUAGUGGCCGAGUGGGGUAUUGGAAGCUCUCUGUUAAAUUUUUAGAUUUUUCCUUC
This is a long non-coding RNA of Macadamia integrifolia, 346 nucleotides long. RefSeq lists it as uncharacterized. The transcript is spliced from 2 exons. The record is from RefSeq and is a predicted model, not a curated record. Lineage: Eukaryota; Viridiplantae; Streptophyta; Magnoliopsida; Proteales; Proteaceae.